RNAcentral lists this long non-coding RNA (464 nucleotides) under Zonotrichia albicollis (white-throated sparrow). RNAcentral describes it as "lncRNA (ENSZALG00000013270.1)". Lineage: Eukaryota; Metazoa; Chordata; Aves; Passeriformes; Passerellidae. The record is from RNAcentral.
CAAUCACAUUCCUGGAGCUCCACAGAGGACACUGCCCUGCUCAUUGUUGCCGCUCUUGCUGAGAGAUGCUUCACAUCAGAAACAUGAGUGCAGCAGGAGAUAUCCAUCCCAAGUGGCACCAAAGAGAGAAAGGAAUGAAUUCCUCAUGGAAGGCGCUCUAUGGACAAUUCCUUUUUAUCUUCACAAGUCCUGGAGAAACAGCAGUGGAUUGCCCUGCCUUACUUCACCCCUGGGCUGGUCCCCUGCAUGUGUCUCUCACAUAAGGAGCUCUGAUUGCUCUCCUCCUUUUCUGUUAAAAACAUCCAAGAAAUGGCAUUCAGAAGGAAGUUAAAAAAGGAGGAGGACAAAGGAGCACAGGUAGGCCUUUUCCAAGUGAUUUUUCUAAAACAAAAAAUCAAAAUUAACUAACCUUAUGCCAAAAGUUGUAUAAGAGUACAAAAAUCUCAGUUUUGUUCUACCUUCUU